UUUACCUUUCUUCCAAAUUUUGAGAUAGCAAAAGGAGUAGGGCAGCCGUGAGUUCCAGAGUUUUGCUUCACAAAUUUAUUCCGGAAUGUAUUUGAGGAGUUAAGCGUUUGAGGUUGAGCGUGACGGGUGCGAUGGGUGUUGAGCAAG
This is a long non-coding RNA of Salvia splendens (bonfire salvia), 147 nucleotides long. RefSeq lists it as uncharacterized. The transcript has 3 exons. The record is from RefSeq and is a predicted model, not a curated record. Lineage: Eukaryota; Viridiplantae; Streptophyta; Magnoliopsida; Lamiales; Lamiaceae.